GUUGCUUGACUGAGCUCUACUCUACUGGAAGAGUGAAAGAAUUGCUUGCACAAGGUGUGCAACAAAGCCGAUACCAUGAAAAAACUCCCGAACAGGUAAAUCUGAACCCUGCUCGCAACUUGCCCUGCUUGUCCGUAAUUGCUGAGCACAUGGCCAAUUCACACAUGCAGAACACUUAUGUGGAAAAGUUUUAAAUAUUUUCAGUUGCUAAUUACUCACACAGGAGUAUUUCAAUAUCUUGCAUUUGCUAACUAUCUAUGUUUCUGUUGCUCUUUAAUAUGUUAAUAUAAUACUUAAUCCUGUUUUACACAGUAAUUCUCUAGUUGUUUCGAACCUUUGGUGGUUUUCCCAUAUUGGGCUGUGUUUAUAUAUUUUAAAACACAGAUGUAGUUGAUUUCGGUGCAGUAACUUUUUUUUGAAAAUACGGUGCAGUAACUUUUCGCUUUACUAAUAUUUAGAGUAAACCUCACUUUCAUCUAUGUUCUGCACAUUCAUUUAAUUGUAGAGCUUAAUUGGGAUAUUUAAUACAACAAUUAAACAUUUUGAUUACUGGUGCUAAUGAUGCAGCCACUCUAAUUCCUGCAGGAAAGACUUGAGAGGAGAAGGCAGAUGCCUUACCAUAUGCAUAUAAACCUGGAGCUUCUGGAAGCCACUCACUUGAUUUGUGCGAUGCUGAUUGAAGUUCCCAAUAUGGCUGCUAGUACGUAUGACAAGCGGAGGCCUAUGAGCAAAACAUUUCGCAGGCUUCUCGAUGUGAGUGAAAGGCAGACUUUUGUUGGGCCUCCAGAAAAUGUGAGGGACCAUGUAAUGGCUGCCACAAGAGCCCUCAACAAGGGUGACCACCAAAGGGCGUUCAGUGUCAUAAGUUCGCUGGAGACCUGGAAGCUUCUGAGGAACAGGGAGCAUGUACUUGAGAUGCUGGAGCUUAAGAUAAAGGAGGAAGCCCUUAGAACCUAUCUCUUCUCAUACUCCUCUUGCUACGAGUCCUUGAGCCUUAACCAGCUCAUCACCAUGUUUGAUCUUAGUGAGCAGCAUGCUCACAGCAUCGUUAGCAAGAUGAUGAUGCAUGAAGAGCUUCAUGCUAGCUGGGACCAACCAACAAAGUGUAUCGUUUUCCACAGUGUGGAUCAAACUAGGCUUCAGGGGCUACUCUUCCAGAUGGCAGAUAAGCUCUCGGUCCUGGUGGAGAGCAAUGAGAGGGCAUAUGAAGCAAGAACUGGUGGUACUCUUGAGGGUAUACCGCCCAGGCGCAGGGGUGACGGUCAGGACUCAUCCAAUUUGGGGAGGUGGCAGGAUAACUUUGUGUCGUCACAAGGGAGGCAGGGUGGUGGCAACCGGUCUGGAUAUGCUGGCAGAGGUGGAGGUCAGGGUGGUGGAUAUCAGAGGGACAGGGGAAACCAGGGUUCCCGUGGUGGCUACGGUGGCGGUUCACGGUACCAGGAUGGAAGGGGUCGCAACCAGUCUGGUUCCUCGGCAAGAGGUGGUGAUGGUGGUGCACGCAUGGUGAGCCUUAACAGGGCUGGUAGAGUUUAGUAGUGAUAAAUUUCAGCUCAAGGUUU
RNAcentral lists this long non-coding RNA (1559 nucleotides) under Setaria viridis. Its description in RNAcentral is "long non-coding RNA (SVIR_LNC002280)". Lineage: Eukaryota; Viridiplantae; Streptophyta; Magnoliopsida; Poales; Poaceae. The record is from RNAcentral.